AACGAACGCUGGCGGCAUGCCUAACACAUGCAAGUCGAACGAGACCUUCGGGACUACUUGCGCACGGGUGCGUAACGCGUCGGAACCUGCCUUUAGGUUCGGAAUAACUCAGAGAAAUUUGAGCUAAUACCGGAUGAUGUCUUCGGACUAAAGAUUUAUCGCCUUUAGUUGGGCCCGCGUUGGAUUAGCUAGUUGGUGGGGUAAAGGCCUACAAAGGCGACGAUCCAUAGCUGGCCUGAGAGCACGAUCAGCCACACUGGGACUGGGACACGGCCCAGACCCCAACGGGAGGCAGCAGGAGGGAAUGUUGAACAGUGAGCGAGUGCCUAAUCCAUCCAUGCCGCGUGAGUGUUUAAGACCUGAGGGUUGUAAAGCUCUUUUACCCGAGAUGAUAAUGACAGUAUCGAGAGAGUAAGCGACGGCUAACUCCGUG
This 433-nucleotide ribosomal RNA is filed under the name uncultured bacterium. RNAcentral's name for it is "partial 16S ribosomal RNA". It matches the Rfam family "Bacterial small subunit ribosomal RNA", at positions 29 to 507 of the family's 1533-position model. The record is from RNAcentral.